Molecule: long non-coding RNA, 372 nt
Organism: Ornithodoros turicata
Lineage: Eukaryota; Metazoa; Arthropoda; Arachnida; Ixodida; Argasidae
Exons: 4
Source: RefSeq, a predicted model, not a curated record
UUGCGACUCAACGUAUGCGAACACUGUACGAGCCGGCCGUCUAAAGGAUCUGGAGUAUUAUGUUUCUCUGUUCUUCAACUCUGUCAAUCAAAGGUUUAACAACAUCCACGGUACCACAAUAAGAUUCCUCGUUGUCGAAAUUGUGCAAAUGAACAGAAGCACUGAAGAGAGCGUCCUAGUGUUCCAUAACGAAAAGGGAGUGAAAUAUGUGAACGCCACGGCAACCUUACCAGAACUACAGAAGCAUGCGGCGAAACUGCCCAAUUUUACCAAAGUUGAUGCGGUAGUACUGCUAACUUCUUACAAGACGUUCUACAAAGAUCCGAAUGUAACAGAUACUGCAGGACGAAAGUUGGUCACAAUAACCCCAGG